GACGAACCGUCCUAACGUUGUUCGGAAUCACUGGGCUUAAAGGGUGCGUAGGCGGGUCAGCAAGUCCGGGGUGAAAUCUUUCGGCUUAACCGGAAAAGUGCCUUGGAUACUGCUGGUCUAGAGGGAGGUAGGGGCAUGUGGAACUUCCGGUGGAGCGGUGAAAUGCGUUGAUAUCGGAAGGAACGCCGGUGGCGAAAGCGACGUGCUGGAUCUCUUCUGACGCUGAGGCGCGAAAGCCAGGGGAGCAAACGGG
RNAcentral lists this ribosomal RNA (253 nucleotides) under uncultured bacterium. RNAcentral describes it as "partial 16S ribosomal RNA". It matches the Rfam family "Bacterial small subunit ribosomal RNA", at positions 524 to 776 of the family's 1533-position model. The record is from RNAcentral.